CUGCCUUGUAGCGGGGGAUAACUAUUGGAAACGAUAGCUAAUACCGCUUAUGGAUGGACCCGCGGCGUAUUAGCUAGUUGGUGAGGUAAUGGCUCACCAAGGCGAUUAUACGUAGCCGACCUGAGAGGGUGAUCGGCCACACUGGGACUGAGACACGGCCCAGACUCCUGGGAGGCAGCAGUAGGGAAUCUUCCGCAAUGGACGAAAGUCUGACGGAGCAAUGCCGCGUGAGUGAAGAAGGUUUUCGGAUCGUAAAACUCUGUUGUUAGAGAAGAACAAGGAUGAGAGUAACUGCUCAUCCCCUGACGGUAUCUAACCAGAAAGCCACGGCUAACUACGUGCCAGCAGCCGCGGUAAUACGUAGGUGGCAAGCGUUGUCCGGAUUUAUUGGGCGUAAAGCGAGCGCAGGCGGUUCUUUAAGUCUGAUGUGAAAGCCCCCGGCUCAACCGGGGAGGGUCAUUGGAAACUGGAGAACCUGAGUGCAGAAGAGGAGAGUGGAAUUCCACGUGUAGCG
This 514-nucleotide ribosomal RNA is filed under the name uncultured Carnobacterium sp. RNAcentral's name for it is "bacterial SSU rRNA". It matches the Rfam family "Bacterial small subunit ribosomal RNA", at positions 126 to 680 of the family's 1533-position model. Lineage: Bacteria; Bacillati; Bacillota; Bacilli; Lactobacillales; Carnobacteriaceae. The record is from RNAcentral.